RNAcentral lists this ribosomal RNA (216 nucleotides) under uncultured bacterium. RNAcentral describes it as "partial 16S ribosomal RNA". It matches the Rfam family "Bacterial small subunit ribosomal RNA", at positions 118 to 351 of the family's 1533-position model. The record is from RNAcentral.
UGGGAACCUUCCCUAUGGUUCGGAAUAGCCCAGGGAAACUUGGGGUAAUACCGAAUAAGCCCUUCGGGGGAAAGAUUUAUCGCCAUUGGAUGGGCCCGCGUCGGAUUAGCUAGUUGGUGGGGUAACGGCCCACCAAGGCGACGAUCCGUAGCUGGUCUGAGAGGGUGACCGGCCACACUGGGACUGAGACACGGCCCAGACUCCUACGGGAGGCAG